This 253-nucleotide ribosomal RNA is filed under the name uncultured bacterium. RNAcentral's name for it is "partial 16S ribosomal RNA". It matches the Rfam family "Bacterial small subunit ribosomal RNA", at positions 524 to 776 of the family's 1533-position model. The record is from RNAcentral.
UACGUAGGGUGCGAGCGUUAAUCGGAAUUACUGGGCGUAAAGCGUGCGCAGGCGGUUUUUUAAGUCAGAUGUGAAAGCCCCGGGCUCAACCUGGGAAUUGCAUUUGAAACUGGGGAACUAGAGUGUGUGAGAGGGGGGUAGAAUUCCAAGUGUAGCGGUGAAAUGCGUAGAGAUUUGGAGGAAUACCAGUGGCGAAGGCGGCCCCCUGGCACAACACUGACGCUCAGGUGCGAAAGCGUGGGGAGCAAACAGG